UUUGCCUACGGGGGGCAGCAGUGGGGGAUAUUGCACAAUGGGGGGAACCCUGAUGCAGCGACGCCGCGUGAGUGAAGAAGUAUUUCGGUAUGUAAAGCUCUAUCAGCAGGGAAGAAAAUGACGGUACCUGACUAAGAAGCCCCGGCUAACUACGUGCCAGCAGCCGCGGUAAUACGUAGGGGGCAAGCGUUAUCCGGAUUUACUGGGGGUAAGGGGAGCGUAGACGGCAGAGCAAGUCUGAAGUGAAAGCCCGCGGACCAACUGCAGGACUGCGGUGGAG
This 280-nucleotide ribosomal RNA is filed under the name uncultured bacterium. RNAcentral describes it as "partial 16S ribosomal RNA". It matches the Rfam family "Bacterial small subunit ribosomal RNA", at positions 334 to 631 of the family's 1533-position model. The record is from RNAcentral.